RNAcentral lists this ribosomal RNA (253 nucleotides) under uncultured bacterium. Its description in RNAcentral is "partial 16S ribosomal RNA". It matches the Rfam family "Bacterial small subunit ribosomal RNA", at positions 524 to 776 of the family's 1533-position model. The record is from RNAcentral.
UACGAAGGGGGCUAGCGUUGUUCGGAUUUACUGGGCGUAAAGCGCAUGUAGGCGGGUCAUUAAGUUGGAGGUGAAAUCCCGAGGCUCAACCUCGGAACUGCCUUCAAAACUGCCAACCUGGAGCAAGAUAGAGGCAAGUGGAAUUGCGAGUGUAGAGGUGAAAUUCGUAGAUAUUCGCAGGAACACCAGUGGCGAAGGCGGCUUGCUGGAUCUUUGCUGACGCUGAGAUGCGAAAGCGUGGGGAGCGAACAGG